Nicotiana attenuata is the source of this 1665-nucleotide long non-coding RNA. RefSeq lists it as uncharacterized. Lineage: Eukaryota; Viridiplantae; Streptophyta; Magnoliopsida; Solanales; Solanaceae. The transcript is spliced from 3 exons. The record is from RefSeq and is a predicted model, not a curated record.
UAGCAUCAUAUGUGUCUCUCUAUAUAUAUUUCCUUUUCCCAAUACUGUUACCAUCUCUAUGAGCUUCCUAACCCUUCCUUUCCCAUCUACUAUUUCUCUUACUCUCUAACAUAAAAACAGCUUAAAUAAAUAUGCAGACUCCAUUCUUCCUAGAGAUCUCUCUUGGAUUAUUGUUAAUUCCCUUUUAUCAUGCAAAUUUUCCCUAUGUUUCCACUUAUUCGACAGAGUCUUGAAAUAUGUUUCUAUGAGGUUAUUUAAUUAUAUAUGUUAACCGAUUUCUUGGUGUACUGAUUUAGCUUAUCCUUUUCUGCCCAACAUAUGCUGGAACCUGUGAAAAAAAUCAUAUCUAAAAACCCAAGAAAAAAGGAAGGAGAGGGAAAAAAAAGAAUUCGGAGUCUUAAUUUUUUUUGGUUUUAUCUGGUAUUUAUAUUUGUUAAUUUUCUCCCUAUACCUAUCUUUUUGUGGAGCAAGAGUUAUCAACCUUCCAAAGAUAUAAGGUUUUUUUAUGUUUGAUUUUUUUUUUUUUUUGAAAUUAAUGAAAUAUCUGGUGGCUAAAUGGUCCAUUAUUUUAGCUAGAAUUGUUAGCCCAUUGUUCCAAGAUAUGGAUGUACUUAAUUAGAUUUGCCCCCUAUAAAUAUGUAUAUGUAAAGCAUUUAUGAUAACCAUUUUGAAUGGUUGAAGGAUAGGGUUUCUAGUCCACUUGGAGACAUUCAUAAAAUUGGAGCGAUACAGAGAAAAUAGGGUUUCUGGGUCGAUAGUUGAACAAUCAACGCAGUCGUUGUUUGCAGAUGUAGUAUCAUCAAGAUUCACAUAUUGUAAAGGCAUGGUGAUUAAUGAAGAAAAAAAAACGACCAUGGCUUUUUUAGAGGUGAGAAUCUUGAUGAUGCUGCAUCAGCAAUAAACGACUACCUAACUUACAGGAGCGAAGGUAACUAAACGAGUUAUGAAUUCAAUAGCAUAUUCAGAACCCAUAAAUUUCAAGUUCGGCACUGCUUCUACUAACCUAUACUUUCUUUUAAGGCUGUCACUCUAAGCAAAAGGAGAAAUUCAGACCCCAGAAGUAUAGUACUGUUGUUCAGUUUCUGUAUAGAUACAUGGAUUUGCCUUGUUUUAUUUUUACUGUAUUUCAGUUCAGUACUGUAUAUUCUUGUCAGGUCGAUCUGUUUUUAAUUUUUAUUGUUUCAAAAUCUAACAGGUGAAUUUGGAUUUUUGUUUUAUUUUGAGACUGCUCACUGCUCUUUUGCUGAUGAAAUGAGGACUGUGUAGAUCUGUGAUUAUUCUCUCCUGGCAAAUGAAGUUAUGAUUAUUAAUGGUCUUCAGAAGGAAAAGAGCCAAAGGAGACCAACAAGGGUUGUGGACUUCUUCAUCCUUAACCAAAUAUCUCGGGUUGGAGCCCUGGGUAUGGAGUCGUUGGACUCCUUCAUUCUUAAUCAGAUGUCUUGGAUUUGAGUCCUGGGUAUGGAGUCGCCUUGUUAGAGAGUGCUUUACCUCCCAAUGUGAACUUUUCGGCACGAAUCCGGAUUUGAUCGGCCCAAUACAAGUACCGAACAUUGGGUGGAAAAUCCAAAAAUAAAAGGAGCUAAGGGAGAGUUGGAGUAACCUAAAGAAAACUGAGAAGAAGAGGUGAUAUAGGUAUAAGGAAGGCUAAGGAGCAGUUUUGGAGUU